This 530-nucleotide long non-coding RNA is filed under the name Bos taurus (domestic cattle). Its description in RNAcentral is "long non-coding RNA NONBTAT002705". Lineage: Eukaryota; Metazoa; Chordata; Mammalia; Artiodactyla; Bovidae. The record is from RNAcentral.
GCAGUAGUGUAUGUUACACUGUUAAAGGGAGCUUAGUGACUGAAAAAUGCCUGAGCUCAGAGCAAGAGACCCACCCUUGAGUUAUUUAAUCAAUUUCAGUAGAGAAUGUGGGACGGACUUCCUUACUCUACCUAAAAUUUUAUUCUUAAUGAGGAAUCUACCUGUCUUUCCAGUUCUGUUAAUUGAUCUGAAAAGCUGAGUAACUCAGGGAAAUUGCUAGAUUUGAUCUCAAAAGAUUAUUGCCCACAGUGGUCACAAAACAGUGCUCAGUAAAGUGCAUGCUGAUUCACUGAGAGGAAGGAUCAACUGGGUAAGCCACCUAGGGUCUAUACUGUGGAGGUAGAGACAGUAUUCACAUGCUAAGUGGGGCAUUUCUAAAACCUAUUAGCAGAAAUGCUUAAAAUAAAUUCAGCCUAUCAAUGAAUCCCUCCAAUUCUCCUAAAUAACCAAAAUGAAAAGUCAUUAGAAGUUUUAAGAAAGUUUUCCAAGAAGCAAGCAUGAAACAUACCGUCUAAAAACUUUGCUUAGUC